Molecule: ribosomal RNA, 447 nt
Filed under: uncultured bacterium
Lineage: Bacteria
Description: partial 16S ribosomal RNA
Rfam family: Bacterial small subunit ribosomal RNA
Source: RNAcentral
AACGAACGCUAUCGGUAUGCUUAACACAUGCAGGUCGGACGGACUAAUUAGGGCUUGCUCCAAUUAGUUAGUGGCAGACGGGUGAGUAACACGUGGGAAUCUGCCCAUCAGUACGGAAUAACUUUUAGAAAUAAAAGCUAAUACCGUAUAUUCUCUACAGAGGAAAGAUUUAUCGCUGAUGGAUGAGCCCGCGUCAGAUUAGGUAGUUGGUGAGGUAACGGCUCACCAAGCCGACGAUCUGUAGCUGGUCUGAGAGGAUGAUCAGCCACACUGGGACUGAGACACGGCCCAGACUCCUACGGGAGGCAGCAGUGGGGAAUAUUGGACAAUGGGCGAAAGCCUGAUCCAGCAAUACCGAGUGAGUGAUAAAGGCCCUAGGGUUGUAAAGCUCUUUUAGCAAGGAAGAUAAUGACGUUACUUGCAGAAAAAGCCCCGGCUAACUCCGUG